CUUACCUACUCUUGACAUCCUCGGAAUCCACUGGAGACAGUGGAGUGCCUUCGGGAACCGAGAGACAGGUGCUGCAUGGCUGUCGUCAGCUCGUGUCGUGAGAUGUUGGGUUAAGUCCCGUAACGAGCGCAACCCUCGUCCUUAGUUGCCAGCACGUAAUGGUGGGAACUCUAAGGAGACCGCCGGUGAUAAACCGGAGGAAGGUGGGGAUGAUGUCAAGUCAUCAUGGCCCUUACGAGUAGGGCUACACGCGUGCUACAAUGGGCAGUACAAAGGGUUGCGAAGCCGCGAGGUGGAGCUAAUCCCAAAAAGCUGUUCGUAGUCCGGAUUGGAGUCUGCAACUCGACUCCAUGAAGUUGGAAUCGCUAGUAAUCGCGAAUCAGAACGUCGCGGUGAAUACGUUCCCGGGCCUUGUACAC
Molecule: ribosomal RNA, 419 nt
Filed under: gamma proteobacterium enrichment culture clone OTU_04
Lineage: Bacteria; Pseudomonadati; Pseudomonadota; Gammaproteobacteria
Description: bacterial SSU rRNA
Rfam family: Bacterial small subunit ribosomal RNA
Source: RNAcentral